This 789-nucleotide long non-coding RNA is filed under the name Sus scrofa (pig). RNAcentral's name for it is "lncRNA (ENSSSCG00055017535.1)". Lineage: Eukaryota; Metazoa; Chordata; Mammalia; Artiodactyla; Suidae. The record is from RNAcentral.
GCCCUCUAGCAGCUUCCGGUAGUGGCCACCCUUUGAGACCUGGUGAAAGAUAAUCCGGAGCAAUUAUGUUCUGCAGUAAAAAGAAAUCACUCGAAGCAGAACGGAUAGUAAAAGCCAAUGACCGUGAAUAUAAUGAGAAGUUCCAGUACACAGUGAGUAAAAUACACAUAGCACACACAUGGUGGGGGAAGGUCUUACCUUAGGGAUAGUAGGAUUCAUGCCUUCUAGAACUGUGACUUUAGUGAAAACUUUGUUGGCAUAUUUUUAGUAGGAAGGUGCCAUAUAUUUCUAUAAAUUCAGAUUUUAGUAAUGUUUAUCCAUUUACUUCCAUUCUGCUCCGAGUGGUUGGUAUUCAAAUUGGUAUGAGAAUAAGAUAAAGUACCUUCUUUCAUAAGAAUUGAUGCUUAUUUUGUUUUGGUGCCCACUGGACAUGAGGAAAAUGUAAGAAUACUAUGAAAACAGGCCUUUGUGGUUGUACCUGGUGAAGGAAAUGGUAGUUGUGGCUGCUGGGUGAUGAGUAACAUUUUGGGAUUUUUCUGUAAGCAACUCAGGCUGAAUAUGGAAAAAUACAUGUAGGAGAAAAUUCUCAGACCUGAAUGACUGUAUUUACCAAGUGAGCAGUGAGAAUGAUUAGUUAAAAUGUGUGGAGAUUCAAGCUUGUACUGAACUACUUUUUUUAAAAUGAGGGUUUUCUCCACUUCCAUAAGAAAUACUUCUUGAGAGUCUACUACUGGCACUAUUCUAGGAAUUUAGGAUAUAUUGGUGAACACUUCAUGAAUUAUAUCAUGG